Molecule: long non-coding RNA, 334 nt
Filed under: Trifolium pratense (red clover)
Lineage: Eukaryota; Viridiplantae; Streptophyta; Magnoliopsida; Fabales; Fabaceae
Description: long non-coding RNA (TPRA_LNC010868)
Source: RNAcentral
GCGGAAGGAGUAACAUGCAUAACUCAAAUAACAUAGUUCAACCAUUGCCAUUAUUUAGAAUUUCUUUUAUAAAGAAAACUCAUAUACAUGGUUCACAAAGGGUAUAUAGUUAUAGCUAGCAUAUAGUCUUUAUUUAAUAUAGUCUUUAUUUAGACAUAUAUACUAGUUAUAUCUUAACCACCAUUCAUGCAUAGCUUACAAGAUGAUUAUUAUUGUUGAUGUUUGGAGUUGAUUCGAAGCGUGAAUGAAAACGCCACGAAUGGAUGUGGUGUAAUUGUCGGCCUUCAUCUAUGGCAGCAGAUAUACCAAUUGUUAUGGUAUCCGGGAGAACAUC